CGUUUAGGGGUAAACCUGAGAAACCCGAAAGGUCGAAGGAAGAAAUUCAUUUGCGUCUCGCUCGCGGAGGGCGGGCGAAUCGAGAUACGUGUAUGUCUUGUACGUACGGCGUUCCGUUCGCUUUGUCGAGUCCGCGGCGAACGCUUGCACUUUUCUUCUGGUAGGACGUCGCGAUCCGUCGGGCGUCGGUCUACGGUCGGCGAUGAAGCCCGUUCCGCACUCGUUGCGGGAAGGACUCGCCUGUACCCGGCCGGCUCGCUCGACGGUAUCUUAUAAGGUUCGGGGUCGCUGCUUUUCGGAGCGUUCGGCUCGCGGCAAGCGCGCCAGUCGCGUCGAUUAUCGGACCUAGUGCCGAUUCCGACCUCUGGUGACUGUUGGCCGCGAAGUUCUCGAACAGACCGUCAACCGAUCUGCGACGCUAUAGCUUUGGGUACUUUCAGGACCCGUCUUGAAACACGGACCAAGGAGUCUAGCAUGUACGCGAGUCAUUGGGAAUCACUAAACCUAAAGGCGUAAUGAAAGUGAAGGUCGUUCCUUAGCGUCGACCGAGGGAAGAGGUUCGUUCGAUUUCGGUCGGCGUUCCGCAUUCCCGGGGCGUCUCGUUCUCAUCGCGAGAUGAGGCGCACCAAGAGCGUACACGCUGGGACCCGAAAGAUGGUGAACUAUGCCUGGUCAGGACGAAGUCAGGGGAAACCCUGAUGGAGGUCCGUAGCGAUUCUGACGUGCAAAUCGAUCGUCGGAACUGGGUAUAGGGGCGAAAGACUAAUCGAACCAUC
Molecule: ribosomal RNA, 776 nt
Filed under: Phrixosoma sp. BHJ-2012 'minor'
Lineage: Eukaryota; Metazoa; Arthropoda; Insecta; Coleoptera; Curculionidae
Description: eukaryotic LSU rRNA
Rfam family: Eukaryotic large subunit ribosomal RNA
Source: RNAcentral